This 627-nucleotide long non-coding RNA is filed under the name Drosophila guanche. Lineage: Eukaryota; Metazoa; Arthropoda; Insecta; Diptera; Drosophilidae. The record is from RNAcentral.
GUUAUGCGAGGAACCCAGCAGAACGCAGCCCUCCUCCCGCCCAAAAAAACAAUGAAUGCAAAAUGGAUCCAUGCAGGAGAUUGCUUUUAUUGGGAUUGGCGGCUCUUGCAUGAUCGGAGGAGGAGGACAAUCAACAAAAUAAGCGCCGACAGCUUUGAUAAAACCCAUAUCUGCAGGAAAUAAACCAGAACGGUCGUUUGUCUAUACAUUUGAGUAUUAUAACUCAUAUAAAUAUGUGUACAUUAAUGGAAACCCAUGAAAGGAUACCCUUUUGCAUAUUCCGCAGUUUGAAAAUAUGACAGAAAAUUUGCAUAUGGCUGGGAAUAACAUCUGCAGACUUCUUUAAUUGGUGAAGCAGCAAGGCCGUGACAAGGAAUAUUUGCGCCCGUUGCAAAGUUGUAAAACGGCGCCUCCAAGCACCCUUCCUAUUCAACAUUGGCUAGUUUCGAGCCCAGAUUGUCGCCAUCUCCCCUUGGCACGACCCUGUGGAGCAGUACUUGGUCCAAAGAGGAAAACAACUUAAAACAUUUUGUUAACAGCCCAGCCGGGUCUGUGUCUUGGCGACAUGAAGAUACUGGCGUUCAAAUAAGUUAAACAAAUUAAAAAUGCAAAUAAAUUCAAUAUAAU